RNAcentral lists this ribosomal RNA (433 nucleotides) under uncultured bacterium. Its description in RNAcentral is "bacterial SSU rRNA". It matches the Rfam family "Bacterial small subunit ribosomal RNA", at positions 100 to 518 of the family's 1533-position model. The record is from RNAcentral.
GGUAACGAACCGUGGGUAACCGUAGCCACUAAGAGGGGAGGUAACAUCCGGAAACGGGUGCUAAUACCGCAUAGUUUUCUGAUCGCAUGAUUGAGAAAGGAAAGACGGCCUUUGUGCUGUCGCUUAUGGAUGGACCCGCGGCGUAUUAGUUAGUUGGUGAGGUAACGGCUCACCAAGACGAUGAUACGUAGCCGACCUGAGAGGGUGAUCGGCCACAUUGGGACUGAGACACGGCCCAAACUCCUACGGGAGGCAGCAGUAGGGAAUCUUCCGCAAUGGACGAAAGUCUGACGGAGCAACGCCGCGUGAGUGAAAAGAAGGUUUUCGGAUCGUAAAACUCUGUUGUCAGAGAAGUAACAAGUUGGAGAGUAACUGCUCCAGCCUUGACGGUAUCUGACCAGAAAGCCACGGCUAACUACGUGCCAGCCGCGGC